Molecule: transfer RNA, 56 nt
Filed under: Ixodes scapularis (black-legged tick)
Lineage: Eukaryota; Metazoa; Arthropoda; Arachnida; Ixodida; Ixodidae
Rfam family: tRNA
About the family: Transfer RNA (tRNA) molecules are approximately 80 nucleotides in length.
Source: Rfam by way of RNAcentral
GCUCAGUUGUUAGAGCACUCCAUUGGAAAUGGAGAGGUCUCUGGUUCGAUACCAGG